UUUCCCUCAGGAUAGCUGGCACUCGCUUGAGCGAGUCUCAUCUGGUAAAGCGAAUGAUUAGAGGCCUUGGGGCCGAAACGACCUCAACCUAUUCUCAAACUUUAAAUGGGUGAGAUCUCUGGCUUGCUUGAACGUUGAAGCCACGAGAUUUAUUUUGCAAUGGAUCAGAGUGCCAAGUGGGCCAAUUUUGGUAAGCAGAACUGGCGCUGUGGGA
RNAcentral lists this ribosomal RNA (214 nucleotides) under Irichohalticella sp. D1882. RNAcentral describes it as "partial 28S ribosomal RNA". It matches the Rfam family "Eukaryotic large subunit ribosomal RNA", at positions 967 to 1163 of the family's 3401-position model. Lineage: Eukaryota; Metazoa; Arthropoda; Insecta; Hymenoptera; Chalcididae. The record is from RNAcentral.